ACUCAAAUGAAUUGACGGGGGCCCGCACAAGCAGCGGAGCGUGUGGUUUAAUUCGACGCAACGCGAAGCACCUCACCUAGGUUGGACAUGGCCCUGCAAGCGCACCGAAAGGUGUGACCUUCGAGGGUGGGCCACAGAUGCUGCAUGGCUGUCGUCAGCUCGUGUCGUGAGAUGUUGGGUUCAGUCCCGCAACGAGCGCAACCCUCGCCCGUAGUUACCGGUGUCUGCGGGGACAGCCGCCCGCGAGGGCGGAGGAAGGCGGGGAUGACGUCAAGUCCGCAUGGCUCUUACGCCUAGGGCGACACACACGCUACAAUGGUCAGCGCAGUGCGCGGCGACGGGGCAACCCGGAGCAAAUCGAGAAAGCUGACCCAAGUGCAGAUCGGGGGCUGCAACUCGCCCCCGUGAAGGCGGAGUUGCUAGUAACCGCGUAUCAGCCACGGCGCGGUGAAUACGUACCCGGGCCUUGUACACACCGCCCGU
This 483-nucleotide ribosomal RNA is filed under the name uncultured bacterium. Its description in RNAcentral is "partial 16S ribosomal RNA". It matches the Rfam family "Bacterial small subunit ribosomal RNA", at positions 899 to 1397 of the family's 1533-position model. The record is from RNAcentral.